This 519-nucleotide ribosomal RNA is filed under the name Escherichia coli. RNAcentral's name for it is "partial 23S ribosomal RNA". It matches the Rfam family "Bacterial large subunit ribosomal RNA", at positions 1 to 560 of the family's 2925-position model. Lineage: Bacteria; Pseudomonadati; Pseudomonadota; Gammaproteobacteria; Enterobacterales; Enterobacteriaceae. The record is from RNAcentral.
GUUAAGCGACUAAGCGUACACGGUGGAUGCCCUGGCAGUCAGAGGCGAUGAAGGACGUGCUAAUCUGCGAUAAGCGUCGGUAAGGUGAUAUGAACCGUUAUAACCGGCGAUUUCCGAAUGGGGAAACCCAGUGUGUUUCGACACACUAUCAUUAACUGAAUCCAUAGGUUAAUGAGGCGAACCGGGGGAACUGAAACAUCUAAGUACCCCGAGGAAAAGAAAUCAACCGAGAUUCCCCCAGUAGCGGCGAGCGAACGGGGAGGAGCCCAGAGCCUGAAUCAGUGUGUGUGUUAGUGGAAGCGUCUGGAAAGGCGCGCGAUACAGGGUGACAGCCCCGUACACAAAAAUGCACAUGCUGUGAGCUCGAUGAGUAGGGCGGGACACGUGGUAUCCUGUCUGAAUAUGGGGGGACCAUCCUCCAAGGCUAAAUACUCCUGACUGACCGAUAGUGAACCAGUACCGUGAGGGAAAGGCGAAAAGAACCCCGGCGAGGGGAGUGAAAAAGAACCUGAAACCGUG